This 439-nucleotide ribosomal RNA is filed under the name uncultured bacterium. RNAcentral describes it as "partial 16S ribosomal RNA". It matches the Rfam family "Bacterial small subunit ribosomal RNA", at positions 339 to 795 of the family's 1533-position model. The record is from RNAcentral.
CUACGGGCUGCAGCAGUGGGGAAUAUUGCACAAUGGGGGAAACCCUGAUGCAGCAACGCCGCGUGGAGGAUGACGCAUUUCGGUGUGUAAACUCCUUUUAUAUAGGAAGAUAAUGACGGUACUAUAUGGAUAAGCACCGGCUAACUCCGUGCCAGCAGCCGCGGUAAUACGGAGGGUGCAAGCGUUACUCGGAAUCACUGGGCGUAAAGCGCGCGCAGGCGGCCUUUUAAGUUGGAUGUGAAAGCCUACGGCUCAACCGUAGAACUGCAUCCAAAACUACUAGGCUAGAGUCUGGGAGGGGAAGAUGGAAUUAGUUGUGUAGGGGUAAAAUCCGUAGAGAUAACUAGGAAUACCAAAAGCGAAGGCAAUCUUCUGGAACAGUACUGACGCUGAGGCGCGAAAGCGUGGGGAGCAAACAGGAUUAGAUACCCCGGUAGUC